GCAGCUCAGUGGGCGGAAGUUCAUUUGCCAGCAACAUCACCGAAGGAUCCAACACCUCAGUAAGUGGCCGUUCUGUGGAUCUGAGCUUUCGAGUUGGUAUUGAGGAAAAAGGUUUCUACACAGAGAAUUUCCACUCAGCCGCCUGGGUUUUCCGAGGGGAUGAUGGGAAUCCUGAGAACAGUCCCAGAUGUCUUAGUAACAAACCUCGACCAGUAGCUGUUCGAGAACGAACGGUGAGGCUCUUCAAAGGAACUGGCGAUUACCCCUG
Rhinolophus ferrumequinum (greater horseshoe bat) is the source of this 268-nucleotide long non-coding RNA. RefSeq lists it as uncharacterized. The record is from RefSeq and is a predicted model, not a curated record. The transcript is spliced from 3 exons. NCBI's taxonomy places the organism in Eukaryota, Metazoa, Chordata, Mammalia, Chiroptera, Rhinolophidae.